GACGAACGCUUGCGGCGUGCUUAACACAUGCAAGUCGAACGGAAAGGCCCUGCUUUUGUGGGGUGCUCGAGUGGCGAACGGGUGAGUAACACGUGAGUAACCUGCCCUGACUUUGGGAUAACUUCAGGAAACUGGGGCUAAUACCGGAUAGGAGCUCCUGCUGCAUGGUGGGGGUUGGAAAGUUUCGGCGGUUGGGGAUGGACUCGCGGCUUAUCAGCUUGUUGGUGGGGUAGUGGCUUACCAAGGCUUUGACGGGUAGCCGGCCUGAGAGGGUGACCGGCCACAUUGGGACUGAGAUACGGCCCAGACUCCUACGGGAGGCAGCAGUGGGGAAUAUUGCACAAUGGGCGGAAGCCUGAUGCAGCAACGCCGCGUGCGGGAUGACGGCCCUUCGGGUUGUAAACCGCUUUCGCCUGUGACGAAGCGUGAGUGACGGUAAUGGGUAAAGAAGCACCGGGCUAACUACGUGCCAGCAGCCGCGGUGAUACGUAGGGGCCGAGCGUUGUCCCGAUUUAUUGGGCGUAAAGGGCUCGUAGGUGGUGAUCGCGUCGGAAGUGUAAUCUGGGGCUUAACCCUGAGCGUGCUUUCGAUACGGGUUGACUUGAGGAAGGUAGGGGAGAAUGGAAUUCCCUGGUGGAGCGGUGGAAUGCGCAGAUAUCAGGAAGAACACCAGUGGCGAAGGCGGUUCUCUGGGCCUUUCCUGACGCUGAGGAGCGAAAGCGUGGGGAGCGAACAGGCUUAGAUACCCUGGUAGUCCACGCUGUAAACGGUGGGUACUAGGUGUGGGGUCCAUUCCACGGGUUCCGUGCCGUAGCUAACGCUUUAAGUACCCCGCCUGGGGAGUACGGCCGCAAGGCUAAAACUCAAAGGAAUUGACGGGGCCCCGCACAAGCGGCGGAGCAUGCGGAUUAAUUCGAUGCAACGCGUAGAACCUUACCUGGGUUUGACAUGGAUCGGGAGUGCUCAGAGAUGGGUGUGCCUCUUUUGGGGUCGGUUCACAGGUGGUGCAUGCCUGUCGUCGGCUCGUGUCGUGAGAUGUUGGGUUAAGUCCCGCAACGAGCGCAACCCUUGUUCACUGUUGCCAGCACGUUAUGGUGGGGACUCAGUGGAGACCGCCGGGGUCAACUCGGAGGAAGGUGGGGAUGACGUCAAGUCCUCAUGCCCCUUAUGUCCAGGGCUUCACGCAUGCUACAAUGGCUGGUACAGAGAGUGGCGAGCCUGUGAGGGUGAGCGAAUCUCGGAAAGCCGGUCUCAGUUCGGAUUGGGGUCUGCAACUCGACCUCAUGAAGUCGGAGUCGCUAGUAAUCGCAGAUCAGCAACGCUGCGGUGAAUACGUUCCCGGG
RNAcentral lists this ribosomal RNA (1343 nucleotides) under uncultured bacterium. Its description in RNAcentral is "16S ribosomal RNA". It matches the Rfam family "Bacterial small subunit ribosomal RNA", at positions 28 to 1378 of the family's 1533-position model. The record is from RNAcentral.